Molecule: ribosomal RNA, 658 nt
Filed under: unidentified archaeon
Lineage: Archaea
Description: bacterial SSU rRNA
Rfam family: Archaeal small subunit ribosomal RNA
Source: RNAcentral
UCUGGUUGAUCCUGCCAGAGGUUACUGCUAUCGAGGUUCGACUAAGCCAUGCGAGUCGAAUGUAGCAAUACAUGGCGUACUGCUCAGUAACACGUGGACAACCUGCCCUUAGGUUGGGUAUAAACCCGGGAAACUGGGUAUAAUCCCCUAUAAGUCUCGGCUGCUGGAAUGCACCGAGAUUAAAAGCUCCGGCGCCUAAGGAUGGGUCUGCGGCCUAUCAGGUAGUAGUGGGUGUAGCGUACCUACUAGCCUACGACGGGUACGGGUUGUGAGAGCAAGAGCCCGGAGAUGGAUUCUGAGACACGAAUCCAGGCCCUACGGGGUGCAGCAGGCGCGAAAACUUUACAAUGCUGGCAACAGCGAUAAGGGAACCUCGAGUGCCAGGUUACAAAUCUGGCUGUCAAGAUGCCUAAAAAGCAUUUCAUAGCAAGGGCCGGGCAAGACCGGUGCCAGCCGCCGCGGUAACACCGGCGGCUCGAGUGGUAACCGUUAUUAUUGGGUCUAAAGGGUCUGUAGCCGGCCGGAUAAGUCUCUUGAGAAAUCUGGCAGCUUAACUGUCAGGCUUUCAGGAGAUACUGUCUGGCUCGAGGCCGGGAGAGGUGAGAGGUACUUCAGGGGUAGGGGUGGAAUCUUGUAAUCCUUGAAGGACCACCAGUGG